This 429-nucleotide long non-coding RNA is filed under the name Salmo salar (Atlantic salmon). RNAcentral describes it as "lncRNA (ENSSSAG00000116907.1, ENSSSAG00020071557.1)". The record is from RNAcentral. Lineage: Eukaryota; Metazoa; Chordata; Actinopteri; Salmoniformes; Salmonidae.
CUUUUAUACGUUGUUACCACAACGCUUCUACUGUAGGCUGAUGUAGGUUGUUACCAUCACACUGCUACUGUAGGCUGAUGUAGGUUGUUACCAUCACGCUGUUACUGUAGGCUGAUGUAGGUUUUUACCACACUGCUACUGUAGGCAUAUGUAGGUUGUUACCAUCACACUGCUUUUAUAGGUUGUUACCACCACGCUGCUACUGUAGGCUGAUGUAGGUUGUUACCAUCACACUGCUUUUAUAGGUUGUUACCACCACGCUGCUACUGUAGGCUGAUGUAGGUUGUUACCAUCACUGCUACUGUAGGCUGAUGUAGGUUGUUACCACCACACUGAUUCUGUAGGCUGGUGUAGGUUGUUACCAUCACCGCUACCUUAGGCUGAUGUAGGUUGUUACCAUCACCGCUACUGUAGGUUGAUGUAGGUUGU